This 484-nucleotide ribosomal RNA is filed under the name uncultured bacterium. RNAcentral's name for it is "partial 16S ribosomal RNA". It matches the Rfam family "Bacterial small subunit ribosomal RNA", at positions 28 to 507 of the family's 1533-position model. The record is from RNAcentral.
AUUGAACGCUGGCGGCAUGCUUUACACGUGCAAGUCGAACGGCAGCGCGGGCUUCGGCCUGGCGGCGAGUGGCGAACGGGUGAGUAAUGCAUCGGAACGUGCCCAGUAGUGGGGGAUAGCCCGGCGAAAGCCGGAUUAAUACCGCAUACGACCUGAGGGUGAAAGCGGGGGACCGAAAGGCCUCGCGCUAUUGGAGCGGCCGAUGUCGGAUUAGCUAGUUGGUGGGGUAAAGGCUUACCAAGGCGACGAUCCGUAGCUGGUCUGAGAGGACGACCAGCCACACUGGGACUGAGACACGGCCCAGACUCCUACGGGAGGCAGCAGUGGGGAAUUUUGGACAAUGGGGGCAACCCUGAUCCAGCCAUGCCGCGUGCGGGAAGAAGGCCUUCGGGUUGUAAAACGCUUUUGUUCGGGAAGAAAUCCUCUGGGCUAAUACCCCGGGGGGAUGACGGUACCGGAAGAAUAAGCACCGGCUAACUACGUG